CAUUGGAUGGGUAAUUUGAAUAUGCCCUUUUUUUACUUUUUUAAGGUGUUUAAAAUAAUAAUAAUAAUAAUUACACCACAAAAGAGAAAGUCUUGUGGAACAGCAAUCCAUGCCACUUCGGUUUUGCAGGUGUGAAACCAUCCAGAUUGUUGUUUGUUUGCUCUGGUUACAUGACUGCCAACAACCCCUGUUGAUGUCAAAACCGUCCUGGCAGAAUCUCCGAGCAGGAAUUCCUUUGGAAACAACAGUAAGUCCUGCUCCCAAUGCAUCUGUGUUGUUGCGAGAUGUUUCUAGGAAGUAAGGAGAGCCAACUGUUAUUCCACUUAAGAACAUGUGUUUGGACGGCAGUUGGCCACAUUCCACAUAGGUAACGGUAGGGAACUAACUGUAUGGCUUGACAGCAGUGAAAAGGACCUAGGGGUCAUAACAGACCACAAGCUUAACAUCAGUCAGUUGUGUGCUGCUGCUGCAGCAGUAGCAACAGCAGCAGCAAGAAGAAGAAGGAGUUGGGGGUGUUGAGCCUGUAAAAGAGGCUCAUAUAAGCAUAUAUAAGGUAUCGGGGUCUAAAAUCAAAGGUUGGAAUGGUUAUGUGUUUUUUGCAGUCAUUGAGAAGUUAACAAUUUAUUUAACAAUAUUUAGCAUUUCCAGGUGUUCAAAGUUCUUUAUGCACCUUAUUGAACUAUAAUCUUCACAACCAUCCAGUGGGCUGAAUCGAGGGUUACUGAUACUCAAGAUCCAUGGAAAUGAAUGGACACGACAAACAGAAACUGACUGAUUUUUAAAAUGGUUGUCUUCAGCUAAGUUCUGAGCAGAAUAAACCCUGUUGAAAUUAAUAGACUCGGCUUAAUCAUCUCCUUUAACUUUUACUCUGAGUAAAACUGCAACCCAUUAAUUUACAAUCUGCGGACAAACGCAGGCUCCCUUGGCCUGUAAAGCGAGAUGAGCACCGCAACCCCAGAGUCAUCUGUGACUGGACUUAACUGUCAGGGGCCCUUUAGGUAAAGGUAAAGGGACCCCUGACCAUUAGGUCCAGUUGUGAACGACUCUGGGGUUGCGGCGCUCAUCUCGCUUUAUUGGCCGAGGGAGCCAGCAUUUGUCCAUGUGGGCAGCAUGACUAAGUCGCUUCUGGUGAACCAGAGCAGUGCACGGAAACACCGUUUACCUUCCCGCCAGAGUGGUACCUAUUUAUCUACUUGCACUUUGACGUGCUUUCGAACUGUUAGGUUGGCAGGAGCAGGGACCGAGCAACAGGAGCUCACCCCAUUGCAGGGAUUCAAACCGCCGACCUUCUGAUCAGCAAGUCCUAGGCUCUGUGGUUUAACCCACAGCGCCACCUGCGUCCACCCUUUUUUGCAGACUAACCAAGUUCUUUGCGUUUUCUCUGUUUGCUUGUUUUUCAGCCCCCACCCAAUGGCAAGAAAGAAUGAAAACACAUUCCUGGAUCUUUAUCAUAUUUAAGUACAAAAAUCUCGAGAGAUUAAGACUGCUCCCGUAGGAGGCUAUUUAAAGAAUGAGGUGUGGCAGUAGACUAGCCAAGCAGUGUGUGACACACCGUCUGGACCCAGGUGAAGGGGGUGCAUUCAGUCAUUCCUAAGCCUGUGGCCUUACUCAUUCCAGGCAAGGCACCUUAAAGCUUUUCCAUGAGAUGGAACACUCCUAAAGUGCCCUCACAACCUCCACCACUAUAUUUUCAAAUUCUGGAUGGUUUAAAAAUUCCUUAUUGUGGAAUUCCUGCCUGAGAGAGGUCAGACUGGCUCCCUCUCUAUUUUCUUUCUGCCGGCAGGCUAAGAUCUUCCUGUUCAGACAGGCCUUUGGAAAUUAAGUGCAGGCGAUGCUGGCCACAGGGCAAAAUGGAUUUUUAAUUGCUGGUUCUAAACAUUUUCUG
This is a non-coding RNA of Podarcis lilfordi (Lilford's wall lizard), 1885 nucleotides long. Lineage: Eukaryota; Metazoa; Chordata; Lepidosauria; Squamata; Lacertidae. The record is from the annotation of a GenBank genome assembly.